GUAAUUUUUACCUAUCAUGGCAUUCUUGUAAAAAAACAUAUAAAUUGGAUGUCUAAUUAGGUUUUCUGCAAUCUAUCUAUUAUUUCAUAACUCUAAAUGUUUAUUAAUGACAAAAUAAUAAAUAUUUUUACUGAUUAUGCAAUCUACGGUCUUAUUGCAUUAUGUUUUAAUCUGUGGAAUAUUAGAAUUUUUGACAAUUGAUGGACAUUGACAAGUUGAUUGGCGAAAAUCACAACAAAUUGGAAUUGUAAUUUACAAGUAAAAUUAUUGAUUGUAUUGUUUCAAGGAGAGUACGAUGACGAGUACACCCAGCGACACAGGCGGACCUCUAAUCGGGUCCUUCGCAUUGACUGAACUGAAAAAAAAAGAAGUACUGGAGAGAGUUAAAAGAAAUGAAUAAAAAAAAUAAAAAACAAAUAUAAAAAUGA
Manduca sexta (tobacco hornworm) is the source of this 428-nucleotide long non-coding RNA. RefSeq lists it as uncharacterized. The record is from RefSeq and is a predicted model, not a curated record. The transcript is spliced from 2 exons. Lineage: Eukaryota; Metazoa; Arthropoda; Insecta; Lepidoptera; Sphingidae.